RNAcentral lists this non-coding RNA (94 nucleotides) under uncultured Ruminococcus sp. RNAcentral describes it as "THF riboswitch". It matches the Rfam family "THF (Tetrahydrofolate) riboswitch aptamer". Rfam says of the family: THF riboswitch presents a pseudoknot that joins P1-P2 and the loop of P3 and two THF binding. The record is from RNAcentral. Lineage: Bacteria; Bacillati; Bacillota; Clostridia; Eubacteriales; Oscillospiraceae.
CAGAGUAGAAGCCGGCGCGUUAAAGUGUUUUGCGGACGGGGAGUUGCCGCGAAAACGAAGGGUGUUCCGCGAUGCCGGUUUCGCAUCCCGCUGU